Molecule: unclassified non-coding RNA, 391 nt
Filed under: soil metagenome
Description: partial contains 5.8S ribosomal RNA, internal transcribed spacer 2, and large subunit ribosomal RNA
Rfam family: 5.8S ribosomal RNA (bases 1-122)
Source: RNAcentral
GAUGAAGAACGUAGCGAAAUGCGAUACUUGGUGUGAAUUGCAGAAUCCCGUGAACCAUCGAGUCUUUGAACGCAAGUUGCGCCCGAAGCCAUUAGGCCGAGGGCACGCCUGCCUGGGCGUCACACGUCGUUGCCCCCCCAUCUACUCCUUCGGGAUUGCGAGGGGCGGAUGAUGGCCUCCCGUGCGCCUCGUCGCGCGGUUGGCAUAAAUGCCAAGUCCUCGGCGCCGCACGCCACGACAAUCGGUGGUUGCGAAACCGCGGUUGCCCGUCGUGUGCGGUCGUCGCGCAUCGAGGGCUCGAAAAAAUUGCCGGGCUCCGGCUCGGCUUUCAACGCGACCCCAGGUCAGGCGGGGUUACCCGCUGAAUUUAAGCAUAUCAAUAAGCGGAGGA